Molecule: small nuclear RNA, 153 nt
Organism: Heterocephalus glaber (naked mole-rat)
Lineage: Eukaryota; Metazoa; Chordata; Mammalia; Rodentia; Bathyergidae
Gene: U2
Rfam family: U2 spliceosomal RNA
About the family: U2 is a small nuclear RNA (snRNA) component of the spliceosome (involved in pre-mRNA splicing).
Source: Ensembl
AUCCCUUCUCGACCUUUUGGCUAAGAUCAAGUGUAGUAUUUGAGCUUCAGAGUAUUUAUAUAUCAUCUGAUACUUUUUUUGUUUGUUUUUUGAGACAUGGUCUUGCCACAUGGUUUGCGCUGGCCUGGAACUCACCCGUGCAGCCUAGGCUGG